CCCGGGAGCUGUUCUAAACCCGCUGCCUGGAACCCGGCACCUGUGGGUAAUGCUCCCGUGAGCGGAAGCACCUCUGAGUAGCCUAGGGAACAGUGUUUCUGGGCCCGAGCUGGUGUUUCUGAAGUUGAGGGUGUAGGGUGGUGGUAUCUUAAAACCCACCGCUUCCCCUGAGACUCGUUCCUACCAUAAUUAUCCUUCCCUGUAUUUACCUACUGUUUGGGGCCAAGUUCUGCAUUUGACGCUCAUGACAACCCCAUGGGUGAGGGUUCUUCUCCUUUUCCUGUGGGAAGAACGGUGAAUUCCCUGACAUCCACAGUACAGAUUUCAAAAUCAGGAAGAUAAGAUUGACACACUACGGUAAUUUACAGGCCUUAUUGAAACGUUGUCCAUUGUUCCAACAAAUCCUUGAUAGCAACAGGAAAUUCAAAACCAUGUAUCCAUUGCAUUCGGUUGUCGUGUCUUUUUUAGACUAAUCUGGAACAGUUCCUAAUUCUUCGUUUGUAACUCAUGACAUUGUCACUUUUGGAGAGUACAGGCCAUUUAUUUUGCAGAAUGUGCCGCAAGUUGGGUCUGUCUGACGUUUCAUCAUGUUUAGAUUCAGGUUCCGCGCUUUGGGUGGGAAAAACAUGGAAAUGAAUGCUGUGUCCUCAGUACCCAAUGUGAAGAGGGACAUUCUUCCCAAGAGUUCCAUUACUGCCAACGCUGACUUUGAUUCAUGUGUUGAAGAAGCGGUCAAUGUGGUUUCUCUGCUGUAAAAUUUCUAGUUUUCCCCUGGUAGUUUUCAAAAAGGAAAAAGAAGAAGUAUCUGGUGGAAACAGAGAAAAAUGUGUCCACAAACCAAGAUAAGGGUUGUAGGCGUACUUAGACUUCGUGUGGCAUCAUUACUUCUGGGCCUUCUUGGAAAACAGAGCUGGGAAAUGGAUAAGAUGUGCACACCCCCGAGUUUACAACGUCUCUAAUUCCAACCUAAUGCUGCAGGGUUUUUCUCUCCUCUCCUCCUCCUCCUCCUCCGACCUCCCCCCCCCCACCGGUGUUUGUAACUGUAUUCUCCAGCCCUGAGAACUUGGCUCCCGAUUCACCCAUCGAUUGAUUGAUUGAUUUGUUCAAUUUCCUAGAAUUCCAAAAAGUAGCUUCAGAUUUGUUCAUCUGUGUCUGGAGCGGUGGGGAGCCUACCGAUUAGAGUUAAAUAUUUGUUUGGAGUUCUUUUUGUCUUUAGCUUGGGGGCAUAUGCUCUGAAUACUAUAUUCAGAAGUUGCUUAUGUUAUUGUUUUUUUCCUCACCCUUGAGUGUGUGUGUGUGUUAUUCUUUUGAAAUAAUGCUUUUGAUUCAUUUGUUUCUGUAUGUAUUACAUUUUAGGACUUUUCCUCCCUUGAAGAUUCCUCUUCCUUGAAGGUUUGAUCUAUUUUCUUUUUUUCGAGUACUCGAAGCGAUAACUUGAUUCCAAAAGGCGGUACCGAAAGGUGGACGGGCCUGGGCUGUGCCUUCAGCCUCCUGUUUCGUGGCCUUGUCGCAGCGCCGUGGAUUUAUCCUUUCCUCUGGAGCUGAGGCCGCUGGGCCAGCGGAGCCUGAGAGGCGGAAACAAUGUUGGUGGCCGCUGGGACAGGGGACCGGGAGAAGUAAGACACUAGAAAGGAACCUGGUGAGGAAAGGCCACAGGGACCGUCCUGGUCUACAGCGUUUGGGAGCAUUGCCUCCUUGGCCGCACACCACACAGCAGCCUUCGUACAGCGCGUCCUGGCCCAGAUUCAAGGAAACUUUGUCUUAAACCAGCUAUGACUCACAGCAGUCUGUGAAGUCUACCUUUGUAAACAAAGAUAAAGCAACUACGUUUUCUCCCUACCUCAUCCCUCCAGACUUUGGAAACUCCCAGUAAGUAUGCUUAUAUUUUCAUAGCAACGCAUUUGUGUAAGUCCAAUAAGAAUCUGUUCUCCUUGCGACAGGACACUAUUGGAAACACUGGUCAUAUUACCAAGGCUUUGGCUAGAAUAUCAUAUCUGAGAACGACGCGCAUAGACUGAGAUAUGACCAGACGGCGCUAAGGAACAAAGAGUGACUGUAUGGAACCAACCCUUGGAAAAAUCAGCCUGAUAACCUUGCUGGGGUUCCCAACAGCCUUAUCAUGUGAGUCAGGAAGAUUGCCUCCUGACAGGCCCAGGAACCUCACGAAGAGGGACUGCCCCCCAAAUUUAUAGGUAUUCCAGGUAAGAUCGGACAGGGAGGUGUUGGCUUGGCUUCUUAGCCUGGGGAGGCUUUUCAGAGUUCCAUCUGAGAUUCCUCAUGAAAAGUUCCAGGAAAGCAGACUUGAAAGAGCCUGGAUGGUCAGUCACUAUUCUUGCUGCACUCACAUAAACAAGAGAGCCAAGUUUAUUGCAACUAGACUGAAUUUGCAAACAAAAUAGUCUUGCUACGGUUGUCCUUGCCACAGAUCGGGGCGAUUACAGAGAGAACAGGUCUGCUUCAGUAACACACCUUCACAGGUAUAUUCUAGCACCGCGGAUUAUCUUUGAUGUUUGUCUUCACCUAGGCUAGAUCCUGAAUUCUAGUUUCUUCCAGUAGCCGGCUACAACUCCAAACUUCCAGCAUUUCUCCUGCCCUCUGACCUGGGAUCCUUGAGACCUAAAACCGCCCAUCCCACAACCGGGCAGGCCCAAGUGGGGUGACUCAAUCCAAACUUCGGAAGGACCACCACAGCAGCUCGCGGGGGGACAGUCUUCGUGCCUGUUGCCGGUGGGCCCCUCAGGACGGUCACCAGAGACGUUCACGCCACAGACCAGGCACGUCUGCGAGGUUGCCGCUGCCCGCCCUCCCCUCACCCGAGGACAUUUUGAGCCCUAGAUGUGCCCUAGUUAUCCUCUCCACGUGGCGGCACUCAGAGCUCAGGAACGGCGUUGUCAUCGGCCCCAGUCUUUAACCUCCGUUGCGUCAUGUGAUGCCGUCACAAGACGUAGGUUUCAGGCAUCUACGGGGGGGUCUUGGAAUGUACCCCCAUACGGGGGGGCUGGAGGCCUGACCUUGGGAGUCCGCCUGCGUCAGCACCUCCUGAAGUGAGACACGACUCUGACCUGACCUGACCUGUCCUCGGGACGAAGACCAGUUGGAUGAGAUAUGGAGCAACCUGUCGGCUCCGGACAGGUUCAAACCCAUUGACGCCAGGUGCCCAUCUUGAACUUUGAUCGCCAAGGCGUCCAUUUCAAAGAAGGCUAUCUCACAAGAACACAUUGCCAGCCACCCUAGGAAAAGGGCCAGGCCACCUCCCCACUCUGCUGUUUUAGAGAGUUCGGUGGACUUCUAUAGCUGACCAUUUGGGCCACUUUUUUUUCUCUCUCUCUCUUCCGAAGCCUUAGAUUCCUGUUCUUAUGUUUUUUUUUUUUUUC
Molecule: long non-coding RNA, 3374 nt
Organism: Prionailurus viverrinus (fishing cat)
Lineage: Eukaryota; Metazoa; Chordata; Mammalia; Carnivora; Felidae
Exons: 6
Source: RefSeq, a predicted model, not a curated record